CCGAAGAUCAUGUGUGACACAGAGACCGUAGUUCAUUCGUGGUCUUCUUCUUCUUCUUUUUUUUUUGCUGGAGAAGGGCCAACCAAGUGUAGAAUAUAUAGCUAAAUAGUUCAGGUUUAAAUAGAAAGAGGUGCCAGGGCCGUUAAUUGCUCGGGGUUCUGGCGCCUGGUGGAGGGAGUUAUUCGCAAAUCCUUCCAAUCAGGAGGCUCCGGGGAGAAGAUGCCGGAGGCAGAAAACAGCAUGGGGAGAUUUGAGAAGCAGCAGGGGGUCCCUCCCUUCGCCGGCGUUUCUUAUUUUCUCCAAAUGUCGGGGCAAGCAAGAUACACCCUCCUCCGCUCUCCGUGUGUGUGUGUGUGUGUGUGUGUGUGUGUGUGUGUAGCCGCCCCCCCCCUUCUCCCUAGCCAGAGGCCUUGAAAGGAAAGCAAUGCACCAGGAAACAGACAAAAGUAAAA
Notechis scutatus (mainland tiger snake) is the source of this 452-nucleotide non-coding RNA. NCBI's taxonomy places the organism in Eukaryota, Metazoa, Chordata, Lepidosauria, Squamata, Elapidae. The record is from RefSeq and is a predicted model, not a curated record.